CUCUACACCCAUGCCACCCUGAGCAUGCCAGAUCUCAUCUGAUCUCGUCUGAUCUCGGAAGCUAAGCAGGGUUGGGCCUGGUUAGUACUUGGGUGGGAGACCACCUAGGAAGACCAGGUGCUGUAGGCU
Ribosomal RNA from Pteropus vampyrus (large flying fox), 129 nucleotides. Lineage: Eukaryota; Metazoa; Chordata; Mammalia; Chiroptera; Pteropodidae. The record is from Ensembl.